This 613-nucleotide ribosomal RNA is filed under the name Persea meridensis. RNAcentral describes it as "eukaryotic LSU rRNA". The stretch from base 208 to 363 matches the Rfam family "5.8S ribosomal RNA". The record is from RNAcentral. Lineage: Eukaryota; Viridiplantae; Streptophyta; Magnoliopsida; Laurales; Lauraceae.
ACCACCACCGGCGAACCAGUCCCACGGAAACGCCGGCCGCGGCGCGCGCCCCCGCCCCCGCGAGCUCGGAAGAACUGCCCAUCGGGCGCGGCGAGCGCCAAGGAAUCGAAGCGGAAAGGGCGGCCGCCUCACCCGGUGCGAGCGCGCCCCUGCCGGGGACGCCGCACCGCCGUGGGGAUCCGCCGCCCGUCUGUGAACCUCUUAGACGACUCUCGGCAACGGAUAUCUCGGCUCUCGCAUCGAUGAAGAACGUAGCGAAAUGCGAUACUUGGUGUGAAUUGCAGAAUCCCGUGAACCAUCGAGUCUUUGAACGCAAGUUGCGCCCGAGGCCACUCGGCCGAGGGCACGCCUGCCUGGGCGUCACGCCGCCCAUCGCCCCCCCCCCCUGCGGCAUUCCCGUGCCCGGCCGGGGAGCGGAGACUGGCCGUCCGUGCCCGAGCCCUCGGCGCGCGGUCGGCGGAAAAGGAGGACACCGUGCGGCGCGGCACGGCGUGUGGGGGUUGAGAGGCGACCCGUCGCCGAUCGUACGUCGCGCCCGCAUUUCGCCGCGCGCAGUGUCACCCGCGGGACCAGACCCGCCCGCAGCCGCGGGCGCUCGGACCGCGACCCCAGG